UGUCAAACGAAACACAGUCUCUAACUCCCUGGAUCAGAUGUCUACAGUUCUGCUAGUAUAUAUGUGCUCCCUGACAAUGGACUAGUUCAGUCAGUGGUGGGAUUCUUCACUAGGUACAGACAAAAGACAACCACUCAGGGGUGCAUUCUUAUACACAGCAGAAGAAGGGAAUGUCUUCCUUACAAAAACAAUUGACACAUCAGGAAAUGCUCACACAGCAGAAUACUUACAAGCAGUAGCAAUAAAAGUUAUAACAAACUG
Molecule: long non-coding RNA, 261 nt
Organism: Gopherus evgoodei (Goodes thornscrub tortoise)
Lineage: Eukaryota; Metazoa; Chordata; Testudines; Testudinidae
Exons: 2
Source: RefSeq, a predicted model, not a curated record